Molecule: ribosomal RNA, 326 nt
Filed under: uncultured bacterium
Lineage: Bacteria
Description: bacterial SSU rRNA
Rfam family: Bacterial small subunit ribosomal RNA
Source: RNAcentral
GAUGAACGCUGGCGGCGUGCUUAACACAUGCAAGUCGAACGAAGCAUAAGAGACAGAAUACUUCGGUAGGAAGAUUCUUAUGACUGAGUGGCGGACGGGUGAGUAACGCGUGGGGAACCUACCUCAUACAGGGGGAUAACAGUUAGAAAUGGCUGCUAAUACCGCAUAAGCGCACAGUACUGCAUGGUACGGUGUGAAAAACUCCGGUGGUAUGAGAUGGACCCGCGUCUGAUUAGCUAGUUGGUGAGGUAACGGCCCACCAAGGCGACGAUCAGUAGCCGACCUGAGAGGGUGAACGGCCACAUUGGGACUGAGACACGGCCCAA